Molecule: ribosomal RNA, 200 nt
Filed under: uncultured bacterium
Lineage: Bacteria
Description: partial 16S ribosomal RNA
Rfam family: Bacterial small subunit ribosomal RNA
Source: RNAcentral
AGAGUUUGAUCCUGGCUCAGAGCGAACGCUGGCGGCAUGCUUAACACAUGCAAGUCGCACGGUUGGGGGCAACUCCGGCAGUGGCGGACGGGUGAGUAAUGCGUAGGUAUCUAUCCUUGGGUGGGGGACAACCGCGGGAAACUGCGGCUAAUACCGCAUGACGACUGAGGUCCAAAGCUCGUGAGAGCGCCUGGGGAGGA